GGGUAAUAUCAAAAAGUGAGUCAAGUCAUUGUUUAUAGUGAAAAUAUGAGCGGACUAUUAUAUUGUGGCAAACACAGCAUUACAGUUGGAACUGAAAAACCUUUUACUGCAGCGGGCUAAAUCAGGGUCACACAGAGUGUUUCUUGGUAGUCUUAAACAAGUGUACUUUGAAACAAAAGUAUUCACCUCAAACACAUGGUUAUGGGCUUAAAAAAAGAAGACACCUGUACAAUGUCAGAUAUAGAGAUGAAAUGUAUUACAUUUUGAGUUUGCAUACAAAUAUUACACUUUAUACAUAUCACAGAAGACUGAAAUAUAACAAAACAGUUUGACAUAGAAACACCAGAUUAUCUGCAGCUUUUUUUUUUUUAAGUGUAUUAAUUAUGAAAUCAUGAAAAAUAUUAGUAACAUUCCACCCAUGAGGCCACUAAGUCAUUUGACUGCAGGAUACUUUGGCUGAAGGAAAUUGCUCAACAGAAUGAAACAAAACACUUGCAAACGGGUUUAAACCUUAACAAAAGUUUUGAACAAGCUAUAUUGCAGCAAUUACUAACAAAGACAAGUGGCUACCAUACCAAAAAUGACAGAAAUAGGCUAAGGUUAUAAGUAGGUCUGUUGUAAAAUAAAUAACAUAUCUUAAACUAAAGACGGAGCUCAAAAUUAAAAGACAGUUAACAUUUAAUUUAGCCAAUGAAAAUGUCUCAACAGAAUUAAACAAAACAGAUUUUGCAUAUUUAAAGAACUGUUUUCGAUUAAUAAAUAGGCUUACAAUAAUAACAAUGAUAUACAAUAAUUAUUAUUAUGAUAAAACUCUGAUGAUUAAACUAAAUGAUUAAACUACAUUUUAGUUCCAAAAUUGCAUCCUACCUGAAUAGGGAGUUGCACAGUAGUCUGCAUUCUUUUUAUCUUAGUCCACUACAAUAUUAAAACUCGUAUAAAAUUCCUCUUGUAGGCUUUUCAAUAUAGACAUCCUCUUUUUCAUCUAACUUUUGGUUGACUUGAAAAAGGCCUCCAUCUUUGCAAGUAUCUGUAGCCUAGGCCAAGCUCCUCUGUUCCUCUCUCUCUCCCUCUCCUCAGCAGCAGGCGCAUGUCUGAGCAAGGCGAGAGAGAUUGGUACUGAAGCGCCAAUUCGGGGUGUAGGCUAUGAUAGACAGCCUCUCCUGGACAAUUUGUCCUGCUACAAUUUUAUUUAUCUGCUUUAAUUUAAAAAAAUCUCAGCCAAAUGCAGGCAAUUACCAGCUAAGGGAACCCAUGGAGCAUUUUCCCAUCAGAGGGUGAUUUGAAAAGUCAUAGUGUUCCAUCAAAUGUACUUGUUGAAGAUAAAAGUAUGUGUGUAAAUAUGUAGUGCACAUGAAAAUUCCCAUGUAUCGAAUAAAUGUACCGGGUUUCCAUCACAUUUUCAAGUCUUACUUAUGGUUUUGUCACAAAACAUGUUGCGUAGCGAAUGUGCCCACUCUGGUAUUGGCGGGUGCGCUCCAGUUCUACUACAUGAUGAGAUUAUUAUGGACAGAAGUGCCAGAUUAUUUUCUUUCUUUUUUCAAAUGGGAGCCAAGCAUUGAUCACCAUGUCACCAAAACAAGAUCCUCGAUAUUUAUUGAAAGCAGCAUCAACUUCAUCACUGUGCAGUUUCACCACCCUGUGAAGUUCAUCUUAACUUAUUGCAUCUGUAUCCUAGUAAACUGCAUGCUUUCCCAUGACGUGGUGACAUUUUUCUAUCAGACAUGUAGGCUACUUUACUCGCAUAAAAAGGUUGAAAGGAAACCUGGUUAAUGUCAAGCCAUUUUGAGGAUGUUGGAAUUCUUGAAUGAAUGUGCGUAUGCCUACAUGAAGCUUUUGAAGUAGCCUAAUCUGAUUCAAACAUCGUGACUGGAUGUGUUUAUGCCAUAUAUAUAAAAGGUAAUACAUCUAAACAGUUACAUGAUACAUAUUUUGGCUAUAUUGAAGCGUUAGGUUCUAGGUGUUUGAAGAAUAGCCGGAGAGGAAGCAGAACGUGUUAAACUUUCCUGGAUAACUGGGCAUGCCGGGAGCAUAUGUGGCCACAUUAUUAUAGGACGACUUGGGUGAAUGAUUAUCUCAACAAACAGCGCAUUCAGUAUCAAAAGUAAAAAUACAGCCAGACUGGCCUGCUACUGUUCCUUUCUAGACCUUACAAACUGCCAAGAGUAGACCCACAACUCAUCCAAAUCUAAUGAAACAUUCAUAUCACAGUGCUUUUGCACUGUUAUUCAAAUGACUCUUUCACUGCAGCAUAGAGUAGGCUAGAAUGUUGACUCAACGCCACAAGAGCAAAGAACAUAUUUCAAACCUUGCAUGCUAGGGGGAGGUAGUUGCAAUAACGUUGGAAUGGUUUAGUCGACUUCCUCAAUAGUUGGUCCAGAAGAUCCACCGCCUCCAGAAACGGCGCCACCUGGUGUUGUAGGCUAGCAUAGGUAGGAUAAUUGUAUUGUCCCUAAACAAGAUCAGUAAGAUUUGAGUUGUGUGCCUCAUGGCUUCACUGUUCUUUCAUGCGCAAUGAUGCACCUGGCCUCUCCGCUGCCUAUCAGCUAAUCCUAUUUGUUCUUGUCCAUUCAUAUAAAAAAGGGCUUUCCUCUGACACCGCCUGGUACAGAGGUCCUGGAUGACAGGAAGCUUGGCCCCAGUGAUGUACUGGGCCGUACGCACUACCCUCUGUAGUGCCUUGCAGUCGGAGGCCGAGCAGUUGCCAUACCUAUAUACCAGUCCUUCACAAUGCCGGGGCUGCACAACUAUCAAGACAGAGUAGUUUAAGAAACCAAUUUACACGAUUCACCAUCAUUCUCUAAUCUACAGAGGGGUUCUGCAGUGCCAGACAGCAGGUACCUCCAGGGCUCCUUUCCCAACAUCCAGAUUUGUCCCCCUGUAUCUAUCCAACAUCAGACAUCCAUCAAGAUGCAUCAUGCUCCUAAAUCUCAUCUACCAUAACAUUCUGGUUAAUUAAGUCUUUUCUAACUAAAUCUUCCCUAAAUGAUUUUCAGUUGUAGGUGUGGUGUCUUAACUAAUGAAGCAACAGUUAUAACAACAUUCAUCGGUCUUUGUACUUGGCGACUUCAACCUCCCGACGUCUGCCUUCGAUUCAUUUCUUUCCAACGCUCUCUUUCCCCUCCUUGCCUCUUUUGACCUCACCCUUUCCCAAUCCCCUCCAACUCACAAGGUAGGCAAUACGUUUGACCUCAUCUUUACUAGAGGCUGUUCUCCUACUAAUCUCACUGCAACCCCCCUCCAGGUCUCUGAUCAAUACUUUGUUUCCUUUUCAGUCUCCCUAUCCUCCAACCCUAACCACUCAGCCUCUACCCAGAUGGUCAAGCGCCAUCACAAUCUUCACUCUCUCUCUCUCCCUCUACUCUCUCCUCUUCUAUCCUAUCUCCAUUCUGCUAAAUCCUUCUCCCUCCUGUCUCCUGAUUCUGCCACUUCGACCCUACUCUCCUCCCUUUCCUCAUCCUAUGACUCGCACUGUCCCCUUUUCUCCCGACCAGGUCGGCCCUCCCCUCCUGCUUCGUGGCCAAGUGACUCGUUGCGAGUUUACAGAACAGGGCUGCAGGCAGCUGAGCAAAAAUGGAGGAAAACUAAACUUCCAGAGGACCUAUCAUUCUUUCACUCCCUCCUACCUACCUUCUCUUCCCAGGUAUCAGCUUCUAAAGCCACUUUCUACCACUCUGAAUUUCAAGCUUCUGCCUCUAACCCUAGUAAACUCUUUUCCACCUUCUCCUCCUUCCUUAAUCCCCCAACCCCUGCCCCUCACUCCUCCCUCUCUGCGGUCCACUUUGAAAAAAGCUUGACGACAUCCGCUACUCAUUCACUCAGCCUAUUGAGUCCACUGGUCUCACUCACAUAGAAGUACCCUAUGCCUUGACCUCUUUCUCCCCACUCUCUCCAGAUGACAUCCUGCGACUAGUGAGGUCUGGCCGCCUGACAAUCUGCCUGCUUGACCCCAUCCCCUCCUCCAGACCAUCUCUGGAGGCCUUCUCCCACUCCUCACUUCCCUCACUUCCCUCAUCAACUCAUCCCUGACCACUGGCUGUGUCCCCUCUGACUUCAAAAUGGCCCGAGUUGCUCCCCUCCUCAAGAAACCAACACUCGACCAACAUCUGACAUCCAAACAACAUCUGACGUCAAAAACUAUAGACCUGUAUCCUUUCUUUUUUAUCUUUCCAAAACACUUGAGCGUGCUGUCUCUGAUCAACUUUCUCGUUAUCUCUCUCAGAACAAUCGUCUUGACUCUAGCCAGUCAGGCUUCACGACGGGUCACUCAAUCGAGACUGUUCUUCUCUGUUACGGAGGCUUUCCGCACUGCCAAAGCUGACUCUUCUCUGUUCUCAUCCUCCUAGAUCUAUCCGCUGCCUUCGACUCCGUGAACCAUCAAAUCCUCCUCUCCACCCUUUCAGGGAUGGGUAUCUCAGGCUCUGCAGACUCUUGGUUUGCAUCCUACCUGGCAGGCCGCUCCUACCAGAUGACGUUGAGAGGAUUUGUGUCUGCACCACGGACUCUCACUACUGGUGUCCCCCAGGGCUGUGAGAUGUGGUUGUCCCACCUAGCUAUCUUAAGAUGAUAGCACUAACUAUACAGUCUUGUCCCAACGCUGCAACUCCCCUAUGGACUCGGGAGAGGCGAAGGAUGAGAGCCAUGUGUCCUCCGAAACACAACCCUGUCAAGCCAUAUUGCUUGUUGACACACUCCUCGCUUAACCCGGAAGCCAGCCGUACCAAUGUGUCGGAGGAAACACCAUCCAGCUGGCGACCGAAGUCAGCCACAAGGACCCGGAACGCCACAAGGAGUCACUAGAGCACGAUAGGACAAGGAAAUUCCAUCUGGCCAAACCCUCCCCUAACCUGGACGAUGCUGGACCAAUUGUGCGUCGCCUCAUGGGUCUCUCGGUCGUGGCCGGCUAUGAUACAGCCUGGGAUUGAAGCCGGCUCUGUAGUGAUGCCUCAAGCACUGCAAAGCAGUGCCUUAGACCGCUGCACCACUUGGAAGGCAGUCUAAACUCUUUUGACCGAAACUGCUUUGUUUUAAAGAUGAACAUUGCAUUGCAUGGCCUCUGAAGACACAUUUGGAAGGGUACCAUACAGUAAGGGGAUCUGCUGUACCUGUAUAUUGUGGGUGAAAAAUUCAGUUAUAAAUGAUUUUGUCUUAGUUAAGAACAAAUUGUCAUCCAGUAGGCCUUGAUUACAUUUCCAUUACCCCGUCCACAUGGAAAUUCUGUAAGAAUUAUGUGGAGGCUAAUUAGAUGGUGGUCCGAUCGCAUUCUGUCUCCUACCAAUACUUUUUUAAACUUUUGGUGCCAGAGAGAAUAACACAAUCAAUUAUUCAAGAUGGCUAGCUUGAUUAAGUCUCCUCCAUGUAUAUCUCACUAGGUCUGUUUUUUUUGUUGCCUCCAUAUAUCCACUAGUACUAACGUGGGGCGGUAGGUAGCCUAGUGGUUAGAGCGUUGGGCCAGUAACCGAAAGGUUGCUGGAUUGAAUCCCCGAGCUGACAAGGUAAAAAUCUUGAACAAGGCAGUUAACCUGCUGUUCCCCGUUAAGCCGUCAUUGUAAAUAAGAAU
RNAcentral lists this long non-coding RNA (5557 nucleotides) under Salmo salar (Atlantic salmon). RNAcentral's name for it is "lncRNA (ENSSSAG00000086062.1)". Lineage: Eukaryota; Metazoa; Chordata; Actinopteri; Salmoniformes; Salmonidae. The record is from RNAcentral.